Molecule: long non-coding RNA, 14561 nt
Filed under: Populus trichocarpa (black cottonwood)
Lineage: Eukaryota; Viridiplantae; Streptophyta; Magnoliopsida; Malpighiales; Salicaceae
Description: long non-coding RNA (PTRI_LNC002268)
Source: RNAcentral
UCAAUUCUACAAGCAAUGGCCUGUCUUCAAACCAUCUAUUGGCAGUUGAGCUGGAUGCAAUUCGAAGCCCGGAUUUUAAAGACAUCAAUGACAACCACGUUGGAAUUGAUGUAAACAGCUUGAUAUCCAUUGAAUCUGCUCCGGUGACCUACUUUUCAGAUGAGGAAAAGGAGAAUAAGAGCUUGACUCUCAUAAGUGGUCAUGUGAUGCACGUAUGGAUAGAUUACGAUGAAGUAGAGAAGCUACUCAAUGUUACAGUUGCUCCUAUCACAAGAACAAAACCAACCUUGCCUCUCUUGUCAACACCUCUCGAUCUUUCUUCUGUUAUGUUGGAUUCUAUGUACGUUGGUUUUUCUUCAUCUACUGGAGCAGUGGCUAGCAGCCACUAUAUUCUGGGGUGGAGCUUCAACAGAGGCGGACAAGCUCAAAGUCUUGACGUGUCAAAGUUGCCUUCACUUCCCCCUCAAAGAAAAUCCAGAAAGAAGCCAUAUUUAAGAAUUCUGGUCCCAACAAUAACAGCAAUCAUUUUGCUGGUAGCAAUCUCUGGUGCUGCUUAUAUAAUAAAGAGGAAGAAAUAUGAAGAACUGCGCGAAGAUUGGGAACGGGAGUAUGGUCCUCAAAGAUUCUCCUACAAGGAUUUAUACAAAGCAACUACAGGUUUCACGGACAGGAAGUUGCUGGGAAGUGGAGGUUUCGGAAAGGUUUACAGAGGAGUAUUGCCUUCUUCCAAUAUGCAAGUCGCGAUCAAGAAAGUAUCCCAUGAUUCCAAACAAGGAACUAAGCAGUUUGUUGCUGAGAUUGCUAGCAUGGGAAGGCUGAGGCACAGGAACUUGGUCCAGCUCCUAGGCUAUUGCCGAAGAAAGGGAGAGCUCCUCUUGGUCUAUGAUUACAUGCCCCACGGAAGCCUUGAUAAACUCCUAUUUCACAAUGACACACCCAGCUUUAAUUGGGUUCAUCGAUAUCAGGUCCUCAGAGGAGUUGCGUCUGCCCUUCUUUACCUCCAUGAAGAGUGGGAACAGGUUGUUCUUCAUAGAGAUGUUAAAGCUAGCAAUAUACUGUUAGAUGAUGAUUUCAAUGGUCGACUAGGAGAUUUUGGGCUUGCUAAAUUCUAUGAUCGUGGGGCUAAUCCUCAAACAACCUGUGUGGUUGGAACAGUUGGAUAUAUCGCGCCAGAGGUUACUAGAACAGGAAGGGCCACUACCAGCAGUGAUGUUUUUGCUUUUGGCACUUUUAUGCUUGAAAUGGCCUGUGGAAGGAAACCUGUAGAGCCAGAACAAUCAGCAGAAAAGAUGAUUUUGGUUGACUGGGUUCUUGACUCCUGGAAAAUAGGAGACAUUCUUCGAACAGGUGAUCCAAGAUUGGAAGGUAAUUACGUGGUGGAGGAAAUGGAAUUGGUUUUAAGGCUAGGUCUGCUUUGUUCUUUCUCCACACCACAAGCUAGGCCAAGCAUGAGGAAAAUUUCGCAAUAUCUGGAUGGGAAUGCUAGCCUGCCAGAGAUGCCUCUUGAUGGUGCUAGCAUAGGUUUGAUGCCAGUUAGUCAUGAAGAGCCUGGGGAUUUCACCUUGUCUUUCCAUAGAUCUAAUGAUUACUCUGCUCAUUCCUUCUCUAGUACCGACUCAAUCCUCAGCUGUGGUCGUUGAAUCAUGGCUUAACGAGGUAAAAAUUCUUUAAUCUAAAGACUAACAGCUGGCAUGUGGAAGGUAGAUUGGAAUACUUAGAGGGUUACCUUGUUUGUGCAUACCAUAGUAAUCCUCAAAGCACAACAAAGACUGCUCCAUGAGGGGUUAAUUAAUUAGCAUACAAACAUAGGUAUAAUUUAUGAUUUAAGCAAAACACAUGGUUGAAAUAGUACAAUGUUUGAUGUACAAUGCUGGUCAAUGAUGGCCGUGUAGCUUCUUCCAUUCUCCUCAGUGCUCUAACCCCACCCCACAAUUCAACUCAACUAUGCCUCAUUCCCAAACUAGUUAGAAUCAGUUUCACAGAUCUUCCUUCUCCAUUCAUUUAGUCCUUGUUCCUUUUUUGAUAAAACUCUCCACUUACUUCUGUUAUGGACUCAAAUGAUUAAUCACCUAUGCCUACCUCGUUUUUACAUGGAAGGUUAAUUACAUAUUGAAAUAUUCUGACUUCUGAUAUAGUGAUCUGCAGAAGCAUAGGCUUCAGUCAACUUUCUAAAAUACAGAAAAUCCAACACCCAGUAUCAUCGAUUAUCCUAACUAGAGUGCAGUUCAGUGUGAUAUAGCUGCUGGCUGGGUGGUUUAUUCACAGACUAGUAGUGGAAUAAAAAAAAUGGUGAUAAGGUAUCUUGAUGCUGAUGUUAUACACACAUAUAACUGUUUUAAUCUUUCUACAAACAGUCAAGAUUGCAAAAACCACGUUCAAGGAAGAAAGAAGAUAUAGACAGCAGCUUUGUAGGUUGAAAAGGGAUUAAAACACCAGCCAAGAAAAAGUAAAAGAAACAUUGCAACAAAAUUUGCAAUAAGAAGGCAGCAAUAUUAAUAACCCUGCUUUCAGAAAGAGUGUACAUAGUCAAUUACCUAAUGAAAAGGCUAGAGAUGUCUGAUCAAUAAGUUUCCAUCAUUUCUCCUGGUUAUUGGGUCACAGCUUGUUGCAGAUGAGGCAGCGCAACCUCUUGGGACAGAGUACGUUCACUUGCUGUGCAGCCUUUCCUGCAUCCAACUACCCUUAGUGAUUAAACAGACUCUAAUUUAUCAAGCAUGGAGAUUAGUUGUAAUGAUCAACUUUAAUUCUAAUUUGGGUCCCUCAAAGAACUUACACAGAGCAAGGUAAACAUGAAGUGACUUGAUUCCAUCUUAGGAAAAACAAGCUCAUACUGGAAAAGAUUUAACAGACAUUAGCCUCCCCGAAAAAUACCACAAAAAAAAAAAAAAACAAAAACAAAAGGAAGUUGAUACAGAUGCAGGAUAGCCAUCAACGUGAAAAUUACCGGUACUGAUGUGUUCAUAUGAACUUAUGGUGCCCGUGUGAGCUUGGAAGAGAGAACCAACCACUCCCUUUCCUCCUGGUAAUAUCUUGCUGGUCACAGAGGUGUCAAAGGCAAGGACUGCAGCCAUGGAUCAACUGUUGUAGUGGCUGUGACUGACCAAAUCAGCUCACUAAGAUAAUCCGCCUAUAGGAAAAGAAAUGAAUCAGGGAAGGAUGAUCUGUGAGUGGUGUGGUUUUUAUUAUGAAAUAAAAGUUUGUUUUUGUAUUUUAAAAUGUUUUUUAAAAAUUUUAAUUUUGUUUUAAAUAAGUUUUUUUUAUGUUUUUAAAUAUGUUAAAAGUAAUUUUUAAAAAAAAUAUAUAUUAUUUUAAUAUAUUUUUAAACAAUAAAUACUUUAAAAAAUAACAUUAUUACACUAACAAAACAAAAUGAAAAAGCUUAAGAAAUAGCUAAUUAUCACUAAAAAGUGAAAGGGAGACAUCUUAAUGGCAAAGUGAUGGCUGAUGUGCCAAUGACAGCCAUGAAUACCACUUAUUGGGACUAUACAUAGACAAACAUCUGAUUGAUGAUGAUAGGCAGAGCUCAUGAAUAGCUUGAACCACAACCUUUUGAACAGUUCCAAGAUAUUUGAAAGUAUCUUGUGAGGUUGCAGCAAACUGGAUAAGCCACCCGUUCCGUCUUUUCCCUUUUGCAAGUAUCACAUGCUUAAUUGCUUACACAAACUAUUUAAAACUACUAAAGAAUUUUAAUAAAAGAAACGCCAGCUGAUUGCCAGUUUUGGCGAAACGUUCAAAAGGCUUUGGACAAGGUUGAAGUCGGAGACAAAUUCAAAGCUACAGUAGCCCUUAAUGCUGAUGUUUACAAAUCAUCUUCCAAUAACCCAUCUUCGACUGUUGGGAACGAGCCUUUCUUGUCAAGUUUUAAUAGCACUUGCGACAAUGUUACGUUUACGUUUCCACCAUUUCAAGACGUUCAUAAGGCUUAGGACAAUGAUGGAGUCAGAGACAAAAUCAAAGCUACAGCAGCCCUUAAUGCUGAUGUUCAUGAAUCAUCUUCCAACAAACAACCUGAUGGCAAUUUCCGUAACAACAUAAAGGAUGUCACGAUUCACACUGUGAAGUUCGUCAAAUUAAAGCUCAUAAUGGGAGAAGUUGGCUGGCCUACAGAUGGUAACAGUGCUGGCGAUUUGAAGAUCAUAAUGGGAGAAGUUGGCUGCCUACAGAUGGUAACAUUAAUGCCGACCCCAAAUUAGCUAAAACGUUCCAUGACGGUCUCUUUAAAGAAGGGAACCCCUGUCCGACGAGGUUAAUUGGAUGUGUAUCUCUUUGGCCUAAUCGAAGAAUCAGAAGAGCAUUGCACCAGGACAUUUCGAGAGACAUUGGGGGCUCUUUCGCUUCGAUGAACAGCUAAAAUUUCCAUGGAUUUAUCUGGACAAGGUGAUGAAGAGAUGCUAAUAGCAUCAUAUGGAGUCCAAUACAUGCCAUCUCAAUGGUGUGUGCUUGAUGAGGAAAAUAAGAACUUGACCAUGAUAAAAUUGAAAUCAGCUAUGCCCUGCUCUUUGGUCGUGAAUGUUGAAUAUUUAGAUAGCAUUUGGAAAUGCAGUUUUUUAAUUUUUUUAAUUUAAAAUUAUUUUUUUAUAUUUUGGAUUAUUUUGAUGUUAUGAUAUUAAAAAUUAUUUUUUAAAAAAUUAAAAUUAUUAUUUUUAUAUAUUUUUAUAUAAAAAGUAAUUUAUAAAAUAACAUCUAUCAUCUUCAAAUAUCUUCUUGCUAGAGCUCCGCCUUGGCAUGCAUGCCCACUAGGGGUGUUCACGGUUCGGUUCGGAUCGGUUUUUAUCAAAAAAAGUAACCAAACCGAAAUUUUUUUUUAAAAAAAAAAACCGAAACCGGUUCAAACCGACCGGUUUCGGUUCGGUUCGGUUCGGUUUUUUAGAGAAAAAACCGGUUCAAACCGGUUUGGCUCGGUUUUUCCGGUUUGGCUCGGUUUUUUCGGUUUGGCUCGGUUUGGCUCGGUUUUUUUCGGGUUCGGUUCGGUUCGGUUUUUCCGGUUCCAGGCUUAAAAAACCGAAACCGAACCGAACCGGUCGGUUUUUUCAAAAUUUUAAUCGGUUUAAUCGGUUUUUUUUUUCGGUUCGGUUUUUUUGGUUAUUUUUUUUCCGGUUUUCUCGGUUUAAUCGGUUUUUCGGUUUUUUUGAACACCCCUAAUGCCCACUACCCAUCUUUAUUAAUUGUGUCUAUGGUUUUGGUUAUCUUGUUUUUCUAUUUUUUUUUCUUGUAAAUGACAAGUUUCAUUAUGUAUUUUGUUUUUCAUUUAUAUAUGUUUUUAUAUUUUUCUCCAAAAUUUUAAAAUUAAAUAUUUAUUAUCAUAAAAUUUUAUUCUUGUCAAUUGUCAUAAUUCUUUGAAAAUUUUUGAAGCAUGUCAUUAUGCUUAAAGAUAUUUAAGUUUUUUAUUUAUAAAAAUAAAAUUACAUAUCUGAAAAUUUAUAUUUUUUUUAUUUUUACAAUCAUAAUUUCAUUUGAAUAAUUUAUAAUAAUGGUCGUAUAAAAAAAGAAUAGAUUAUAAUUAUAAAUUGUUUUAUAAAUGAGAAAAAACAUACAUUCAAAAAAGAUAUUAUGAAAUAUUUUUUGAAAGAAAAAACAAUUAAAGGUAAUUUUUUAAAUAUAUAAAGCACAAUUAAAUUUGAACUUUCUUGGAAGAUAAGCUAUAAAAAUAAAUUUAUUGAUCUUAAGAAUUAGCACAAGAAGAUUUAUUGACAAUUUAUCUUUAAAAAUUAAAUUUAUAGAUACUUCUUUCAACUUCCUCUUUCUCUUUCUAUUUUAAAGUUGUGUGGCACAAAAAUUACACGUUGAAGGAAAGAACGUGUGUAUAUCCUCUUUUUAAGUGUGUGUUUAGUAGUGCAUUAUAUGUUAUUUUUUAAAAGUAUUUUUAAUUUAAAAUAUAUUAAAAUAAUGUAUUUUUAUAUUAAUACAUUAAAAUUAUAAAAUAAAUUUAAAACAAAUAUUAAAUUAAUAUUUUUUUCAUAUAAAAAAUUGGCUUAACAAACAUUAUAAAAAAUAAAUCGAACCACAAAAACAAUAGCAGCCUUAAAUGCAACCAAACAUGCUUAAAGCAAGCAUUAGGUUUUAAUAAUAAUAAUAAUAAUAAGAAGCGAGCAAGGGUUGCAUACCCGAGCGAUGAUUGCAGACCCAGUUUCCAAACCCUCACCCCUAAGCUGCAGACCCACUUGCCAAGGUUUGCAGAACCCCGCGCUUGGGGUGUGCAGAACUAGGAGCGGGGUGUAGACCCACCCGUCUGGGUUUCUUCUAUUGCGCCUGAGGUCUGCAGACCCCCCAGGAGUUGUAGAACCCGUAGAGAAAAUUAACAAAUUUGAAAAAAAAAUGAAAACAAAUAUAAUAACUAAUAACAAUUAUUAUUGUUAUUGUUAUUGUUAUUAUUAUUAUUAUCGUAAAUAAAUUUUAUAAAAAUAUUAUUACUAUAAAAACUUGGACUAGACAAGUUUAAUAUUAUUAUUAUUAUACUAAAUAUUAUUGUUAUUUAUUGUUGUCAUUAGUAAAUUGAAAACAAAAUUAUUAUUUAUUGUUAUCAUUUCAGGUGGGGUUGAAUUUCCUUAUUAAAACAUGUUUUGUUUUGGUUUUUAAAAAUGCUUUGAAACAAAUUUGACAAUUUUUUAUUUUUUUCAUUACUUCAAAUUAAUAUUUUUUCUUUUAAUUCAUAUUAAGAUGUUUUUGUAUUAUUUUGAUGUGAUUAUAUAAAAAAUAGAUUUAAAACAAUAAAAAAUAUUAUCUCAAUAUAUUUCAAAAAAAAUAUUUUAAGAUAUUUUCAAUUUUAUUUUUUUCCCUCUUCAAAUAUUUUUUUCUCUUAUUGAUUUUUUUCAUACUGUAAAGAGAAAAUAAAUUAAUGUGACUUUUUUUUAUAUUAUACAAAAGUUGGGUGAUGAUAAUUUUUUUUCAUUUCAAGUUGGGUUGAAUUUUCUUAUUAAAGUAUGUUUGGUUUUGCGAUUCAAAAAUGGUUUGAAAAAAAUUUAAAUUUUUUUUAUUGUUUUCUUUACUUCAAAUUAAUAUUUUUUAUGUUUUUAUAUUUUGUUUUUAAAUAUAUUGAGAUUGAGUCUGGUUGCAUAGCCACACCAAAAAGAAUAUAUUAAGUUGGGUCCUAUCCAGCAGGACCCAAAAUAGCUUUGGGUCCAGCCGCCGCUGGACCCAUCAGCCUUGGGUCUUGUCCCUAACAGGAUCCAUCAGCGUUAAGUCCUGCUCCUAGCAGGACCCAUCACUAUUUUUUUUUUUUUCUUUUCUAUUGGGUCAGGCAUUUUCUUCCAGAACCAAGAAACUUGGGUAAGAAACGACGCCUCACCCAAGGAGCUUGGGUGUGGCUAGGCACAGACCCAAAUCCAAAUCCCUUUGGUCUUAAAGACCCGCCUGGCCCAAGAUUAUUGGUCCUUCGUCAGGACCUAAGGCUAAUGGGUUAUGCGUCAGGAAUCAAGGCUAAUAGGUCGUGAGUCAAAACCCAAUGUUCUUGGGUCCUGUGUCAGGACCCAAUUUCCUUAGGUUAUGUCAGGACCCAAAACUAAUGGAUGUGACAUCAAGACCCAAGAUUCUUGGAUCUUAGAUUUCUAAAUAUAAUUAUUUAUGAUAUAAAUAUAAUUAUUUUUAUUAUAAUUAAAAGUACUAAUAUUAAAAAUAGUAUUAUUUGUGAUAUAAAUAUUACUAUUUUUAAAAUAAUUAAUAAAUUUGAAAAACAUUAUUAUCAGUAUUGAAAAACAACUAUAGAUUUCAUUUGAAGUGUAAAAUAAUUAAUAAUAAUAAUAAUAAUUAAAUUUUAAAAAAAUAUUAUUAUUAUCGAAGAAAAAACAUAUUUUUUUUAAGAUUAAAAAAAUAAAAAAUUUGGCUGACAAGUUAAAUAUUAAUAUUAAUAUUAUAAAUAUUAUUGUUGGAUUUAGCGUUGCAGCCAGACGCAACGCUCAUGGGUUCGUCGUUGCAGCCAAACUCAACACUUUUAGAUCUUAGAUUUUUAUUAUAUCUUUUUAUUAAAAUAAAAGGUGAGCCCGGGCCGUAGUGCGGGCAAAUAAGAAAAAUGAAAAAAAUAUCAAUUAUUAUUAUUAUUAUUAUCGUUAAUAAACUUUUUUAAAAACAUUUUUACUAUAAAAAAUUUGGCCAGACAAGUUCAAUACUAUUAUUAAUAUGAUAAAUAUAAUUAUUUGUAUUCUAAAUAUUAUUAUUUUUAUUAUAAUUAAAAGUAUUAGUGUUAGAAAUAUUAUUAUUUGUGAUAUAAAUAUUAUGAUUUUUUUUAUAAUUAAUAUUAUUAAUAUUAAAAAUACUAUUUUUUAUUAUAAAUAUUAUAAUUUUUAUUAUAAUUAAUAUUAUUCUUAUAAUAAUUAAUAAAUUUGUAGAAAAUAUUAUUAAUAUUGAAAAAAAUAGAUUUAAUUUGAAGGGUAAAAUUAAGAAUUAUUAUUACUAUUAUUGUUGUUGUUAUUGUCAUUACUAGAUUUUAAAACAAAAUUACUAUUGUCAUAGAAGAAAAGCAUAAUUAUUUUUUAAAAGAUUGAAAAAUAUGAGAAUUUGGGCAGAGAAGUUAAAUAUUAUUAUUAAUAUUAUAAAUAUUAUUAAAUUCAUUAAUAUUAUUACAAUAAAAAUAAAUAUUAUUGCUAUUAAAGAAAACAUAGAUUUGAUUUGAAGGGUAAAAUCAAUUAUUAUUAUUGUUAUUGUUAUUGUUAUUAUUGUUAUUAUUAUUAUUAUUAUUAUUAUUAUUACUAUUAUUUUCUUCACUUCAAAUUAAUAUUUUUUCUUAAUUCAUAUUAAGAUGUGUUUGUAUUAUUUUGAUGUGAUUAUAUAAAAAAUAUAUUUAAAAAAAUUAAAAAAAUAUUAUCUCAAUAUAUUUUUUAAAAAUAUUUUAAGAUAUUUCCAAUUUUAUUUUUUACUCUCUUGAAAAAACAUUUCUUUUUUCUUAUUGAUUUUUUUUUCAAACUGUAAAAAAAAAUUAAAUUAAUGUGACUUUUUUUAUAUUAUACAAAAGUUGGGUGAUGAUAAUUAUUUUUUCAUUUCAGGUGGGGUUGAAUUUUCUUAUUAAAGCAUGUUUGAUUUUGGUUUUCAAAAAUGCUUUGAAAAACAUUUGACAAUUUUUAUUUUUUGUCUUUACUUCAUAUUAUUAUUUUUUCCUUUAAUUGAUAUUAAGAUAUUUUUGUAUUAUUUUGAUGUGAUUAUAUAUAAAAUAGAUUUAAAAAAUAAAAAAAAUUAUCACAAUAUAUUUUUUUAAAAAUAAAAAAUAUUUUAAGAUAUUUCCAAUUUUAUUUUUUUCCCUCUUGAAAUUUGUUUCUUUUCUCUUAUUGAUUUUUUUUUAUACUGUAAAGAGAAAAUAAAUUAAUAUGACCUUUUUUUAUAUUAUACAAAAGUUGGGUGAUGAUAAUUUUUUUUUUCAUUUCAAGUUGAGUUGAAUUUCAUUAUUAAAGCAUGUUUUGUUUUGCGUUUUAAAAAUGCUUUGAAAAAAAUCUGAAAUUUUUUUAUUGUUUUCUUUAUUUUAAAUUAAUGUUUUUUAUGUUUUUAUAUAUAUUUUUAUUUUGUUUUUAAGUAUAUUGAGAUUAGGUCUGGUUGCGCAGUUACAUCCAAUGAGAAUAUAUUAAGUUGGGUCUUGUCCCGAGAAGGACCCAAAAUAGCUUUGGGUCCAGCUGCCGCUAGACCCAUCAGCAUGGGUCCUACCUCUACAAGGACCCAUCAAUAAUUGUUUUUCAUUUUUUUUUUCUUUUCUCUUGGUUUGGGCAGUCUCUUCCAGACCCAAAAAACUUGGGACAGGAAAAGGAGGGCACACCCAAGGGAGCUUGGGUGUGGUUAUGGAGUAGACCCAAAUCCCUUAGGUCUACAACUCCGUUUGACCCAAUAUUAUUGGUCCUUCUUCAGGAUCCAAUUUUUUGGGUCCUGAGUUAGGACCCAAGGCUAAUGUGUCCUGCGUCGGGAUCCAAUGCUCUUGGGUACUGAGUCAGGAUCGAAUUCUCUUGGGCUGUGUUAGGACCCAAAGUUCUUGUGUCCAUCAUCAGAACCCAAGGCUAAUAAGUUCUGCAUUAUGACUCAUGGUUCUUGUGUGUUAGGUUUCUAAAUAUAAUUUUUUGUAUUAUAAAUAUUAUUAUUUUUAUUAUAAUUAAAAGUAUUAAUAUUAAAAAUAGUAUUAUUUGUGUUAUAAAUAUUAUUAUUAUUAUUAAAAUAAUUAAUAAAUUUAAAAAAAAUUAUUAUUUGAUUUGAAGUGUAAAAUUAAUAUUAUUAUUAUUAUUAUUAUUAUUAUUAUUAUUAUUAUUAUUAUUAUUAAAUUUUAAAAAAUUAUUAUUACUAUGAAAGAAAAACCAUAAUGUUUUUUUUUGAAAGAUUAAAAAAAUAAAAUUUUUGACAAACAAGUUAAAUAUUAUUAUUAAUAUUAUAAAUAUUAUUGUUGGGUUUUGCAUUACAGUCAGACUCAACGCUCUUAGAUCCGAUAUUACAGCCACACCCAACGUUUUUAGAUCUUAGAUUUUUAUGAUAUUUUUUUUAUUAAAAUAAUAGGUGAGCCCGCAGCAUUACUCUUACGUAAAAAUUAAUGAGUUAAAAUUGAAAAUGGGUUUGGAUUUCCUUAAUUUUACCCUGGAUUGGAUUAUGUGAAAAAAAAUUAAAAAGUUACCCUAAAUUUUAUAAGUUUAUAAUACUUUAAAUUAAUAAAAAAAAUUAAAGUAUUAUAAGUUUGUCAUUAUAUUAUAUGUUUCACGUCAUUUGGGUUGCCAUUGUCAAAACCAUAGUUAUUAAACCCGGCCCGGGGUUGACCCGGCCAAGAGGCCGGGUCCCGGGUUUCAUAGGUCAACCCGGAAAAAUUAAAAAAAAAAUUAAAGUUUUAAUAUUUCAUAUGAAAAAAUCCAUGUAAAUAUAAAUUAUACAUAUUGUAAACAAUGAAGUUUAAAAGAAUAUUUUAAAAAGGUUUUUAUCCCACAUAAAAAAAAUAUUAUGUUAAGUUUUUAAGUUGAAGUAUUUAAACUAAAAACGUUUUUUAUCCCACAUUGAAAAAACAUGAUUUUUUACUUGGGAACAUAAAGUAUAUAUAACAAUGGGUUUCAAAUCUCACAUUUAAAAAAAAAAACUGGAUCUCGUUCAAGUUUAUCCGGGUCGCCUGAGUCAUGAGUUGACCUGCCGGGUCACCCGGAUUUAGCUGUACUGUUGCCCCAACCAGUCUUUUACUAAACCAAGUAGCAGGGCCAAGUCCUCUUCCUUCGACAUCGAAGCUUCUAUAUGCUUCAAUGCUGUUGAAUUUGCCGACGGCUGUUUUUAAUGAUUCAAUAAUUUAUUAUGAAGAUUAAAUUGCUUGUCACUUAAUGUAAACGGUCUAAAUACAAAUUGCUUAUCGGGAUUCAAACAAUUUUAUCUUAAAAUAUUGCACUAUAAAUCAUGACCUAUAAAUAUUUAAAUUUUUUAAGAUUAAUUUUUUAUUUAUUUAUAAUUAAUUUUAAAUUUAUUAUUUUUUAUAUUAAAAUAAUUAAUUAAUUUGACAAAUUUGUUUAUUAAAUGAUUGUAUCGUUCUUCUGCAUAGAGUCAAAGAUGGCCACCUAGGAAGAACGUCGUUGAAAUGGAUUUUUCACCCUUCAAAUUAAAUUAAAUUAUAAAUAAAUAAAUAAAUCUCAGACACGUGCUUGACUAAGUUUAUUCAUUGGAAUGGUGCGUUCGCAGAUUUGCCCUUGCACUGAAAUAUUGAGGUCAAUUUAGUCUUUUCACGGGAUCCAAAUUAAUCUCAGACACGUACACUUACAAGCAAAAACAAUUAACUUGUAUUCAGGUGCUUUUUUAUCUUUUUAAACUGAUUUUUUUUAUUAUAAUAAAGUUAAUUUACAAGCAAUUUGAUUAUUUAAUAAAUCUAUUUAUAUUAAAAAAAACCUGGCACGUGGGCUUUUCUUAUGCUAUUUGUGUGGCUGGUACCAUGAUGUUUGGAAGGCAAAUAGUGGUUUUCAAGGCGGUGUUGAAAUCGUCUUGACAGUUCUUUCAUGUUUAGGUUACGCUUGUGGUCAACCAAUCUAAGAUUUAGUGCUAAUAACUUUCUUUUUUUCCUUCUUGAUUUCUGCACUUGACCCUCUGAAAUUUAAAACCAGCCUUUCAAAUUAUUUUUUCUUGGAAUUUGAUCUCUUUUCUUGUAAUUAUUAUUUGUUUUAUUUGAAAUAAUUUAUAGAAUUAAAAUUUUUUUCAACUUCAUCAUCCUUCAACUUUUUCAUCUAUUAAAUUUGGUCCUUAUUUAUUCAUUUUAGAUGGUUUUUAGAAUUAAUUUUUUUUCAUGAUUUUAUUCUCCAAUUUUUUUCUAUCAAAUUUUAUCCUCAUUUUCUCCUUUAUUUAAGCUCGGAUCUCUUUAGCUUCAUCAUUCGGUAUUUAUUUAAUAAGAGAUUAGACUCCGUUAUUUUUUUAUUUUAUUUCUAUAGAAACUUUCAUUGGUUAUGAAAAUAACGUGGGUUAUAUUGAGUCUUUUUAUUUGUUGCUCUUUGUUAAAUUUAGCUUUUUUUGAGAAAUUUAAUUUUUUAUUAAAUUAAAUUAAUUAAUUAAAUAUAAGCAUGAAAUGCUCAUUUCAUGAUAUUUUACUUGGUUUUAUUUCUGGUGAUAAGACGGUGUUCACAGACUUUUCCUUCAUUUGCUAUUGGGUCUUAUAUUGGUAACUCAUUUUUUAUAGUUAACUAUUGCAAAAAAAAAUUAUUUUAUUUACCGUUGAUAUCUUUUUUAAUCAUAUUAUUAAAUUAAUCAAGCUUAUUGAAUCAAGUCAAAUUAAUUACCUAAAUCUCAAAUUUGUUUUGCUUCUUUAAAAAUGUUGGCGCCCUUGAAUAUUUUUUUUUGUCAAUUUUUUUUUUAUAUAUCUAUUAUCAUUGUAUUUUUUUUACUCGUAUUAUUUAAAUUAAUCUAACUUAUUAAUUCCCAUAAAAAAUGACUGGAGUCUCAUUAACUUUUUAAAACAUUUUAGAAACAAUUGUGCCAUCUUAGCAUCUUUUUUACCGUUAAAAAAAAAAACUUCAGCCUAUGCAAGCCAUCCAUCUAGUUUCAAUCUAGUACCCCAUUUCCAUUGCUCAUAAGAAUCAGGCUUGAACAUCCUUUUAUUUUGGUUUAGAUAAAUUAAAGAAAUGCCAUUGCAGUGCUCUUUGUUACUUCAAUCUUCUUUUUACCCUAAACUAAGUAGAGUUCCUUCAACACUUUAAAUCUGUGAACAAACUAGGGAAUUCUGGAAAACCAGGUCUGAAUCUGGACACUUGCGCACCGCAUGUCCGAGCAACAGAGGUUUAAAACUAUUGAUUCAAUCUUCAAUAUUCAGUAAAAUGAUAAUUAUUUUGGAAGUCCAAUUAGUAAUAGAAUUUAUUUCUUGCCAUAGAAGAUUUUAGAAUUUUAUUUUCAUUGACCUUGUAUCCACUUUGAAAAGUAGUUUUCCCUAUUUUUUUCCAAGAAAAAGCUUUGAAGAAGGUUCGAAUGCGCCCAAGUCAUAGCAAUGUGACGAGAAUUGUUUAUAAUUCAGUCUUUAGACUGAGGAUUUGAAACUGUAACAACAAUUAAGGAGAAACUCGAAGCGAAAAAAGUUUGUUUUCUUUUACCAAUUAAUGUGUAACUGAAGAAGCAAAAGCAAUCUUCUGCACGUUCUUAUGAUGAUUGCAUCGUUCAAAUCAUUGCACUUUCUACUCGGCCUGUUUGUUUCCUUGAAGCUCUUGGCCUUAGCUCAAGAGGAAAACCACUUCAUCUAUCAUGGCUUCACUGGCGCCAACCUGCUCCUCAGCGAGAAUGCAAAAAUCGAUCCAAAUGGUCUCUUAGAGCUGACAAACACUUCAAAACGGCAAAUUGGCCGUGCUUUCUUCCCAUUCCCUUUUCAGUUCAACACAUCUUUAUUCAACAAUUCUCGGUCUCUCUCGUUCUCUACCCAGUUUGCGUUUGCCAUGGUCCCUGAGCUGCCUACACUUGGUGGCCAUGGCAUGGCCUUCACAAUCUCUCCAUCUGUGGACUUCACAGGGACUAUGGCAACUCAAUACUUUGGAAUCCUCAAUUCUACAAGCAAUGGCCUGUCUUCAAACCAUCUAUUGGCAGUUGAGCUGGAUGCAGUUCCAAGCCCGGAUCUUAAAGACAUCAAUGACAACCACGUUGGAAUUGAUGUAGACAGCUUGAUAUCCAUUGAAUCUGCUCCUGUGACCUACUUUUCAGAUAAGGAAAAGGAGAAUAAGAGCUUGACUCUCACAAGUGGUCACGUGAUGCACGUGUGGAUAGAUUAUGAUGAAGUAGAGAAGCUACUCAAUGUUACCGUUGCUCCUGUCACAAGAACAAAACCAACCUUGCCUCUCUUGUCAACAUCUCUCGAUCUUUCUUCUGUUAUGUUGGAUUCUAUGUACGUUGGUUUUUCUGCAUCUACUGGAGCAGUGGCUAGCAGCCACUAUAUUCUGGGGUGGAGCUUCAACAGAGGCGGACAAGCUCAAAGUCUUGACGCCUCAAAGAAAAUCCAGAAAGAAACCAUAUUUAAGAAUUCUGGUCCCAACAAUAACAGCAAUCAUUUUGCUGGUAGCAUUCUCUGGUGCUGCUUAUAUCAUAAGGAGGAAGAAAUAUGAAGAACUGCGCGAAGAUUGGGAACAGGAGUAUGGUCCUCAAAGAUUCUCCUACAAGGAUUUAUACAAAGCAACUAC